RNAcentral lists this ribosomal RNA (503 nucleotides) under uncultured bacterium. Its description in RNAcentral is "partial 16S ribosomal RNA". It matches the Rfam family "Bacterial small subunit ribosomal RNA", at positions 30 to 523 of the family's 1533-position model. The record is from RNAcentral.
AUUGAACGCUGGCGGCAGGCUUAACACAUGCAAGUCGAGCGGGGUGAUGGUGCUUGCACUAUCACUUAGCGGCGGACGGGUGAGUAAUGCUUAGGAAUCUGCCUAUUAGUGGGGGACAACAUCUCGAAAGGGAUGCUAAUACCGCAUACGUCCUACGGGAGAAAGCAGGGGAUCACUUGUGACCUUGCGCUAAUAGAUGAGCCUAAGUCGGAUUAGCUAGUUGGUGGGGUAAAGGCCUACCAAGGCGACGAUCUGUAGCGGGUCUGAGAGGAUGAUCGGCCAAACUGGGACUGAGACACGGCCCAGACUCCUACGGGAGGCAGCAGUGGGGAAUACUGGACAAUGGGGGGAACCCUGAUCCAGCCAUGCCGCGUGUGUGAAGAAGGCCUUAUGGUUGUAAAGCACUUUAAGCGAGGAGGAGGCUCUUUUGGUUAAUACCCAAGAUGAGUGGACGUUACUCGCAGAAUAAGCACCGGCUAACUCUGUGCCAGCCGCCGCCGUAA